CUGCUGUGGGGCAACCCAGUGAACGUGAGUGUCUAUGAAACCUGGAGUGGCUAUUAACCCCUCUCCAGAAAUUACCUCGGUCGACGGUCCCAGCACGAAGUCAACUCCAUCCAUGGUAAAUGGGUUACCACCAUGACCUAUCCCCACGAUGACUCCGUCCUUUAUUCCUAUGUCGGCUUUAACUAUUCCAAGUAAAGGGUCCAUUAUCACCACAUUUGUGAUAACGAGAUCCAUG
RNAcentral lists this small RNA (235 nucleotides) under Metallosphaera sedula. Its description in RNAcentral is "5' ureB small RNA". The record is from RNAcentral. Lineage: Archaea; Thermoproteati; Thermoproteota; Thermoprotei; Sulfolobales; Sulfolobaceae.